RNAcentral lists this ribosomal RNA (497 nucleotides) under uncultured bacterium. RNAcentral's name for it is "partial 16S ribosomal RNA". It matches the Rfam family "Bacterial small subunit ribosomal RNA", at positions 28 to 507 of the family's 1533-position model. The record is from RNAcentral.
GAUGAACGCUGGCGGCGUGCCUAAUACAUGCAAGUCGAGCGAACAGACGAGGAGCUUGCUCCUCUGACGUUAGCGGCGGACGGGUGAGUAACACGUGGAUAACCUACCUAUAAGACUGGGAUCACUUCGGGAAACCGGAGCUAAUACCGGAUAAUAUAUUGCACCGCAUGGUUCAAUAGUUAAAGACGGUUUUGCUUGCACUUAUAGAUGGAUCCGCGCCGCAUUAGCUAGUUGGUAAGGUAACGGCUUACCAAGGCAACGAUGCGUAGCCGACCGGAGAGAGUGAUAGCCGACACUGGAGGGGGGCCGGGGUCAAGGCGACUACGGGAGGCAGCAGUAGGCAAUGUUACGCAAUGGGCGAGAGCAUGACGGAGCAACGCCGCGUGAGAGACGAAGGCCUUCGGAGCGUAAAACUCGGCUAUUAGGUAAAAACAAAUGUGUAAUGAAAUAUGCACGUCUUGACGGUACUGAAUCAGAAAGCAACGGCUAACUACGUG